GAUGAACGCUGGCGGCGUGCUUAACACAUGCAAGUCGAACGGGAAACCUUUUAUUGAAGCUUCGGCAGAUUUAGCUGGUUUCUAGUGGCGGACGGGUGAGUAACGCGUGGGUAACCUGCCCUAUACAGGGGGAUAACAACCAGAAAUGGUUGCUAAUACCGCAUAAGCGCACAGGGCCGCAUGGUCCGGUGUGAAAAACUCCGGUGGUAUAGGAGGGACCCGCGUUGGAUUAGCCAGUUGGCAGGGUAACGGCCUACCAAAGCGACGAUCCAUAGCCGGCCCGAGAGGGUGAACGGCCACAUUGGGACUGAGACACGGCCCAGAAUCCUACGGGAGGCAGCAGUUGGGAAUAUUGGAAAAUGGGGGAAACCCUGAUGCAGCGACGCCGCGUGAAGGAAGAAGUAUCUCGGUAUGUAAACUUCUAUCAGCAGGGAAGAUAGUGACGGUACCUGACUAAGAAGCCCCGGCUAACUACGUG
RNAcentral lists this ribosomal RNA (478 nucleotides) under uncultured bacterium. Its description in RNAcentral is "partial 16S ribosomal RNA". It matches the Rfam family "Bacterial small subunit ribosomal RNA", at positions 28 to 507 of the family's 1533-position model. The record is from RNAcentral.